AAGGGCAAAUCUCCAAAAUAGCACAUUUCUAAGUUUAUAUCAUAAAAAUAGCACUCAAAAACUAAAAUGACAAAAAUAGCACCUUUCUAAAUUUAUCCUUUGAAAAUUUUAAUUUUUUUAUUUCAAAAUUUGAAAUCUUAUCCCCAAAACCUCAUUUCUCAACUUUAAACCCUAAACCCUAAACCCUAAACUCUAAAUCCUAAACCCUAAACUCUAAACCCUAAACCCUAAACCCUAAACCCUAAAAUCUAAACCCUAAACCCUAAACUCUAAACUCUAAACCCAAAAU
This 289-nucleotide long non-coding RNA is filed under the name Brassica napus (rape). RNAcentral's name for it is "long non-coding RNA (BNAP_LNC013295)". The record is from RNAcentral. Lineage: Eukaryota; Viridiplantae; Streptophyta; Magnoliopsida; Brassicales; Brassicaceae.